Long non-coding RNA from Homo sapiens (human), 784 nucleotides. NCBI's taxonomy places the organism in Eukaryota, Metazoa, Chordata, Mammalia, Primates, Hominidae. The record is from Ensembl.
ACUCUACUCAGGACCAUGCAAAAUUUAAGACUCAAAAAUUGCUUAAUCGUGUAAUUUUUCACUUACCAUGAGUAACUGAAACUAUGGAAAGUGAAACCGCAGAUAAGACAGGGCUACUAUGUCUCCAUUUCUUUGGGAUCAGCUACUUGGUUCUUACAUUGGAUUCAUUUAUCUUAUAAUGGUGGGUAACUGCAGGUGCAGACCUUAAUCUAUAGUACAUGUCAAGCAAUUCAAUUUUUUAUUGUACUGUGAUGGCAUUGCUCUGCUUUUUGGGAGGACUUCCAGCAUUGCUAAUGGCAUUUUGUAUGGGUCCCCUGGUGUUACUUGAGGUUUUAACAUAUUGCACUAAACAUGAUGAAAACAAUGAGAGAUUACUUUUUGCUGUAAUAAACAAUUUACUGGAGAGACAAACCGCUAACACAGAAAGGAUUACUGGCACAUGACAUUUUAAGUGGAUAUUUGCAAGACUUGAGAUCACCACCACAACAACAGGCUUCAAAAUUAUUAUAGUAUUACGCAAGCUGCCAUGCUGUUGGUAGCAUUUUAAAAAGACAAGCAUGGCGAAGAAAGGAUAUCUCUGCCAAGCAGCCAGGAACAUCCUGAGGCCUGUCAGCAGCCCUUUCCGUGAAACUGGAAAUGGAUCUUCCCCUUGUGAUGACUACAGUCCCAACUGAGAGCUUGACUGCAACCUCAUGAGCAGCCCUGAGCCAGAGACACUGAGCUAAUUUCUGCCUGAAUUCCUGAUUCAUGGAAAUUAUGGGCUAAUAAAUAUAUCUCAUUUUAA